UGGCUAUGAUUAUAAACUUGCCCGCGCUUCUGAGAUUGGUUUCAAUGAAGCAUAUACGGUAAAAACUGAUAAGAUCAUAACAAGAGUCA
Brassica napus (rape) is the source of this 89-nucleotide small nucleolar RNA. NCBI's taxonomy places the organism in Eukaryota, Viridiplantae, Streptophyta, Magnoliopsida, Brassicales, Brassicaceae. The record is from RefSeq and is a predicted model, not a curated record.